AGUGAACGCUGGCGGUAGGCCUAACACAUGCAAGUCGAACGGCAGCACAGUAAGAGCUUGCUCUUACGGGUGGCGAGUGGCGGACGGGUGAGGAAUACAUCGGAAUCUACUUUUUCGUGGGGGAUAACGUAGGGAAACUUACUCUAAUACCGCAUACGACCUACGGGUGAAAGCAGGGGAUCUUCGGACCUUGCGCGAUUGAAUGAGCCGAUGUCGGAUUAGCUAGUUGGCGGGGUAAAGGCCCACCAAGGCGACGAUCCGUAGCUGGUCUGAGAGGAUGAUCAGCCACACUGGAACUGAGACACGGUCCAGACUCCUACGGGAGGCAGCAGUGGGGAAUAUUGGACAAUGGGCGCAAGCCUGAUCCAGCCAUACUGCGUGGGUGAAGAAGGCCUUCGGGUUGUAAAGCCCUUUUGUUGGGAAAGAAAAGCAGCAGGUUAAUACCCCGCUGUUCUGACGGUACCCAAAGAAUAAGCACCGGCUAACUUCGUG
This 492-nucleotide ribosomal RNA is filed under the name uncultured bacterium. Its description in RNAcentral is "partial 16S ribosomal RNA". It matches the Rfam family "Bacterial small subunit ribosomal RNA", at positions 29 to 507 of the family's 1533-position model. The record is from RNAcentral.